RNAcentral lists this ribosomal RNA (1112 nucleotides) under marine metagenome. RNAcentral describes it as "bacterial SSU rRNA". It matches the Rfam family "Archaeal small subunit ribosomal RNA", at positions 1 to 1121 of the family's 1478-position model. The record is from RNAcentral.
UCCGGUUGAUCCUGCCGGAGGCUACCGCUAUUGGAGUUCGAUUAAGCCAUGCGAGUCGAGAGUCUUAGGGACUCGGCGUACCGCUCAGUAACACGUGGGUAACCUGCCCUAUGCUGGGGAAUAACCUCGGGAAACUGAGAAUAAUGCCCCAUAGUCCACUACGCCUGGAACGGUGAGUGGAUCAAAGCUCCGGCGGCAUAGGAUGGGCCUGCGCCGUAUCAGGUUGUAGGGGGUGUAAAGUACCCUCUAGCCAUCAACGCGUACGGGUGUUGGGAGACAUUGCCCGGAGAUGGAUUCUGAGACACGAAUCCAGACCCUACGGGGUGCAGCAGGCGCGAAAACUUGGCAAUGCGAGCAAUCGUGACCAGGGAACUCCAAGUGCUUGGGGUAAGACCCAAGCUUUUCUUGACUCUUCAAAGGUCUUGGAAUAAGGGGUGGGUAAGGACGGUGCCAGCCGCCGCGGUAAUACCGGCGCCUCAAGUGGUAGUCGCUUUUAUUGGGCCUAAAACGUCCGUAGCCGGUCUGGUGCAUUCGUGGGUAAAUCAACCCGCUCAACGGGUUGAAUUCUGCGAGCACGGCCAGACUUGGGACCGGGAGAGGUGUGGGGUACUCUCAGGGUAGGGGUAAAAUCCUGUCAUCCUGAGAGGACCACCUGUUGCGAAGGCGCCACACUAGAACGGAUCCGACGGUCAGGGACGAAACCUAGGGGCACGAACCGGAUUAGAUACCCGGGUAGUCCUAGGUGUAAACGCUGUGGACUUGAUGUUGGGGGCGCUCCGAGCGCUUUCAGUGUCGAAGCGAAGGUGAUAAGUCCACUGCCUGGGGAGUACGGUCGCAAGGCUGAAACUUAAAGGAAUUGGCGGGGGAGCACUGCAACCUGAGGAUUGUGCGGUUUAAUUGGAUUCAACGCCGGAAAACUCACCAUGGCCGACGGACAAAUGAAAGCCAGUGUAACGAGCUUGCUGGAUUGUUCGAGAGGUAUUGCAUGGCCGUCGUCAGUUCGUACCGCAAGGCGUUCUGUUAAGUCAGAUAACGAACGAGACCCUCAUCCCUAUUUGCCAGCUGCGUCUCCGGACGUAGCGCACUAUAGGGAGACCGCUGUCGAUAAGGCA